Molecule: ribosomal RNA, 253 nt
Filed under: uncultured bacterium
Lineage: Bacteria
Description: partial 16S ribosomal RNA
Rfam family: Bacterial small subunit ribosomal RNA
Source: RNAcentral
UACAGAGGUCCCAAGCGUUGUUCGGAUUCACUGGGCGUAAAGGGUGCGUAGGCGGUCGGGUAAGUCUGAUGUGAAAUCUCACAGCUUAACUGUGAAACUGCAUUGGAUACUAUCCGGCUCGAGGAAUGGAGGGGAGACUGGAAUACUUGGUGUAGCAGUGAAAUGCGUAGAUAUCGGGAGGAACACCUGUGGCGAAAGCGGCGCACUGGACCAUAACUGACGCUGAGGCGCGAAAGCUAGGGGAGCAAACAGG